UUGAAUGUCUGAAGUUGGUUGAGCUGGUCUUAACGGACAUGGUGCUCGCUGCUUCUAUUCAUCUUAUCCACCUGUGCACUUAUUGUAGAGCUCUGAAGAAAGCCUUGGUUCAUACUGAGGUCAGUAUUUAGGUUCUAUGUUUUCACAAACUCUAUGAAUGUCUAGAAUGUCUUUUAUUGGGACUUGAUUGGCCCUUUAAACUUUAUA
Molecule: unclassified non-coding RNA, 207 nt
Filed under: uncultured Basidiomycota
Lineage: Eukaryota; Fungi; Basidiomycota
Description: sequence contains ITS1
Source: RNAcentral